CCUACGGGUGGCAGCAGUGGGGAAUAUUGCACAAUGGGGGAAACCCUGAUGCAGCGACGCCGCGUGAGUGAAGAAGUAUUUCGGUAUGUAAAGCUCUAUCCGCAGGGAAGAAAUAGCGACCUAUUGGUCGCCAGACGGUACCUGAUUAAGAAGCCCCGGCUAACUACGUGCCAGCAGCGGCGGUAAUACGUAGGGGGCAAGCGUUAUCCGGAUUUACGGGGGGUAAAGGGAGCGUAGACGGCAGCGCAAGUCUGAAGUGAAAUGCCUGGGCUUAACCCCGGAACUGCUUUGGAAACUGUGGAGCUAGAGUGCAGGAGAGGUAAGUGGAAUUCCUGGUGUAGCGGUGAAAUGCGUAGAUAUUAGGAGGAACACCAGUGGCGAAGGCGGCUUACUGGACUGUAACUGACGUUGAGGCUCGAAAGCGUGGGGAGCAAACAGGAUUAGAUACCCGUGUAGUC
RNAcentral lists this ribosomal RNA (458 nucleotides) under uncultured bacterium. RNAcentral's name for it is "partial 16S ribosomal RNA". It matches the Rfam family "Bacterial small subunit ribosomal RNA", at positions 338 to 795 of the family's 1533-position model. The record is from RNAcentral.